CGCCGCCAGCCUCCAGGUGAGUUUUGUUAAUUUCUUUAGUUUAGUUUGGUAGGCUUUAAGUUUGUUUAGUUUCUUUAAUUUCAGUUUCAAUAUUGUAGUUAAUGAUAGUUUUUAAGUUUUUUUUAUAAUUUCUAGUUUUGAUUGUAUUUAUAAAUUUAUAAUUGAAUAAAUUUUAUUUUUUUAAUUUCUAGUUUUACUCUCAAAAUCUCAAUGUCUUCGGGUAAGUCGUGUAUCAUCAUCAACGGGGGAUGAUGAUGAGGGGAUCCGGCUAGAAAAUAUGGGACACCGAAUCCAAACAAUCCUUAUGCGUGGACUUGUCAAUUUUGUCUAAAAGUGACAAAUGGAGGAGCAUUUCCAUGAAACAACAUUAGUGGGUGGUUAUAGGAAUGCAAAGAAAAGAAAUUCCUAAGGCUCCGGAACAUGUUCGAGUAGAAGUGAAUGCUUAUAUGAUGAAGAAAGCAACUAGCAAAGUGAUGAAGCAUUUUGCUAAAAUCCACCUCAAUGUGUUGAAGAUGUUGAUGAUGAAGAAGAGGAUGAAGAGAUGGAAAUUGGAGGUAGCUCACGCACCAUGACGAGUAAGAAGGCCCCGGCUCCAAAGAGGAUGAAAGGUCCUUUAGAUGUUUAUCUUGCUUGUAGCCAACCUAGUUCUCAAACUCAUGAAGUAUUGAAGGGAAGAAAAGAAAGAAAAGAGUCUUUGGCUAGUGACAAGUUAUGUAGGGAAAGAGCUUGUAAAGCAAUUGCAAGGUUCUUUUAUGACAAUGCUAUUCCUUUCCAUCCGGCACUGUGAUAGUUUCAAGAACAUGGUUGAAGAAAUUGGACAAUAUGGUCCCGGAUUGGAACCACCGAGCAUGUAUGAGCUAAGAGUUCUUUUCUUCAAAAGGAAGUGGAAGACACGGACACAAAGUGUUGGAGUUCAAGAAAGAAUGGGCCACAAAGGAUGUUCUAUUUUAUCCGAUGGAUGGCGUGAUUCGGUGGUGCAAAAGGAUAUUGUGAACUUCCUUGUCAAUUCUCCAAAAGGGUCCGUGUUCAUCAAAUCGGUGGAAGUAUCCGAAGUUGUGAAAGAUGCAAUCACUUUGUUUCAAAUGCUUGAUUCUAUUGUUGAGGAAGUUGGAGAGGCAAAUGUUGUGCAAGUGGUGACGGAUAAUGCAUCUAACUAUGUCAAAGCGGUAAGAAAUUUAAAUCAUCUUCAAUUUUAUACAAUCACUUAUAUUUUCUUAAGUAUUAAAGCUUUUAAUCUUUUAUGAUAGGGAAAUUGCUUAUGACAAAAAGACCACAUCUUUAUUGGACUCCAUGUGCCGCACAUUGCGUGACUUAAUGUUGGAGGAUAUUGGAAAGCUUCCAAAGAUCAAGAAUGCCCUCAAGAAGGCGAUCUUCAUGAAUGGUUAUAUAUAUAACCACGUCGCCGUUGUCAACAUGAUGAGAAGAUUCACAAAUCAAAGGAAUGUGCAUCGACCGGCGGUCACAAGGUUUGCAACUUCCUUUAUCACUCUUGCACAAUAUCAUAAGCAAAAGAACAACUUGAGGAAGAUGGUGACUUCGGAAGAGUGGAAUGCUUCAAAGUGGGCAAAGGAAGCGGGGGGAAAGAAGGUGACAGCUUAUAUUUUGCAAGACACAUUUUGGAGAAUGUGUUUAUGCUCUUAAGUUGGGAGGUCCUCUUGUGACGGACUUCGGAUGGUUGUGGGGAUAAAAAACCGGCUAUGGGGUACAUUUAUGAAGCUAUGGAUAGAGCUAAGGAGGCUAUUGCUAAGAGUUUUGGUCACAAGGAGGAGCAUUACAAAGAAGCGUUUGGGAUCAUUGAUAAAAGAUGGGAUUGCCAACUUCACCGUCCUUUACAUGCGGCUGGAUACUUUCUUAAUCCGGAAAUCUAUUAUGAUAAUCCGGAUCAAGUGAGUUGCCAAGAGAUUGAGCAAUGCUUGUAUGAAUGCAUUCAAAGGUUGAUUCCCGAUGAAGCAACUCAAGACAAGAUCAUGGUUGAGUUCGAUGCCUACAAAAAUGCAGAUGGUCUAUUUGGCAAUGCAAUGACAAUUAGACAUAGAAAGGUCAAAUCACCAGGUAACAUUUUAUAUUUGAAAAUCUAAUUAAGUGUUGAAUUAAUUAAUGUUUCAUAUUCUAACAAACCGUCAUUUUUAAAAUGUCUAUAGCGGAUUGGUGGUCUUGUUAUGGAUCUUCAAGUCCCAACCUCAAAUCAUUUGCGAUAAAAGUUCUUAGCCUCACUUGUAGUGCUACUGGAUGUGAGAGAAAUUGGAGUGUCUUUGAUCAUGUAAGCUAUUAUUUUAUUUUACUUUGACUAUAAUACAUAAAUAUGAUUUUAACCUAUUAUCUUUUAUAUUUUUAUAGCUUCAUACCAAGAAGAGAAACCGAUUGGCACAAGAUCGGCUCAAUAAAUUGGUUUAUGUGAAGUAUAAUCGCACUUUGGAAAGGCGAUACAAGAGGAAAGACACAAUAGAUCCUAUUCUAUUAGAAGAGAUUGAUGAUAGCAAUGAAUGGUUGGUUGGACAUAUGGAUGGGGAAUCUUCUAAUGAAGAUGAUCUUGUGUUUGAGGAUGGUGAUUUGACAUGGAAUGUCGUUAGUAAGGCUUCGGGAGCUAAUGAUCUUAUUUAUAGCACUAGACGGGCAUCUAGAGUUGAUAAAGGAAAGAGUGUAGUUGCUUCGAGUUCGAGAAGGCUUUUAGAUGAGGAUGAAGAUGCGGAUGAGGAGAGGGAAGUGAAUGAGAUGGAAGAGGACAUUGGUGAAGACAAAGAUGAUGGAGAUGGGGAUGACGCAUUUGAGGAUGAUGGACUUGAGGAUGAUGAUUAUUGAUUACUUGUUUGAUAUUUGAUCGUACUUUUAGACUUGCGUAUUUUAAAACUUAAGUAUUUGUGUGUUUUGGAUUAAGUAUUUGUGUGUUUUGGAUUAAGUAUAUGUGUGUUUAAGUACUAUUUGUGGUUUUAAGUUGUGUUUUUGGUAUAAAAUAUAAUGUAGGUAAAUAUAUUAGAAUUUUUUAGGCUUUACUGCGCCUCGCCUACGAAAAGCCCGCGCCUGCGCUUAAAGCCCUGCGCCUAGGCUCCGAGGCAUGUUUGCGCCUCGUGCGCCUCGGGCUUUUUAAAACCCAGU
RNAcentral lists this long non-coding RNA (3093 nucleotides) under Salvia miltiorrhiza (redroot sage). Its description in RNAcentral is "long non-coding RNA (SMIL_LNC001217)". The record is from RNAcentral. Lineage: Eukaryota; Viridiplantae; Streptophyta; Magnoliopsida; Lamiales; Lamiaceae.